AAAAAAACUAUCAUUCGAGACGCUGCACAACGGCAGGGACGCAUAGCUAUGACGACGGCGGAGGCGACAGGCGAGGGCUUGGAGUUCCUAUCGGAUCCAGUUGACAGGUUUCCUCUGCCAGAUCUCGCCCGCCGGCGAAUCACUGCUGACCGGCGGAGGCAACCAAACUUUCGUAUGCACGGCUACCGAAUUCAGUAUCGGUGAUGUGGGCGAUGCGGCAGUGACACUGGAACUAGAUUUGUAGAGCGAAUGCAAUGGAGUGGUCUCUCGGCGCCCAACUCAGAGCAGUCGACGGGCAAAAGCGAUCUUCAGGCGCCGGGCUGUACCAAGAGACUGCGUGUUGGGCAUGCACCUGAAGUCCUGAAGAACGCCCUCCGUGUGCCGGCAGAAUGAGUGCUCUUGAAAAACGUUGAGAAGAUAUGCUGAGAAGAAAACUGACACGGUAAUAGUGCCUGCAGUAGGAAGCACGUUUGAUUCACUCGGAGAAGCUUAUGACUAUUACAAUUUGUAUUCCUGAGUGAUUGGAUUUGGGGUAAGAUAUGGCAAGAACAGGCUUAAUGUUGAAAGGACAAAAUGCAUGCAAGAGAUAGUAUGUGGCUGCUCGGGGAUUCCGAAGAAAAGCAACACUCGGACUUGCCGGUGCAGGUGCCCCGCGCUCAUACGAUUGCUCCGAUCAAAGGACAAUGGAUGGUACAUAAGUGAGUUCAUACCAUCACACAACCCUUCGUUAAUGGAGAAGUGUGGCGAGAAGGUGUACUAGCCGUCACACAAACAUAUCGAUAUAUACACACAUGAUGUGGUUAAGCAGCUCCGCGAAAAUAACAAUACCAUUGGCAAGGUUUACAAUAUAAUUGGUAGUUUCUUUGGUUCAAUGUUCAAUGUGUUAUUCACCAAAAGAGCGUUGAGGGGGCUAUGUGGCAAGAUCAGCCUCGAGCAAGCAGGCGAUGAUGGCGGGAAGACAAUGGAUGUUUUUGUCGAGUUGGGAGCAAAAGAUACUGGUCUCUACAGAGUGCAGCCGGAUGAGGAUAGCCGCGUACAUAAUUUGUUAUGGUCAACUGGAUCAAGCAGGGCCCAGUACCACUUCUUUGGAGAUGCAAUAACAUUUGAGACAACAUACAAUACCGACCUCUAUGACAUGCCAUUUGGCCUGUUUGUGGGAGUCAACAACCACUUCCAGACCGUGAUAUUUGGUGGCGUCCUAGUAAGAGAUGAGAUAGUCGAGACUUUUUAGUGGGUAUUCACUGAAUUCAUCUGCAUGAUGGGCGGAAAACAUCCACAAACUUUGCUUACAGAUCAAUGCAGGUCCAUGGAGAUAGUAAUGGAGAAAGUGAUGCCAGAAACCACUCACCUCUGGUGCAAGUGGCACGUGCUGAAGAAGGCAAAGGAAUCUCUGGGACCAUACUACACAAAGGAAAACGCUUCGGGUCGGCGCGCCGGCUGAACUUUGCGCCGGUCGCUUGGCUCGCGCAGUGCAAAGCGUUAGGACCCACACACUGCUUGACGUUACCUUAUCUAAUCACGGUGCACUCUCCUCCACCCAUUUUCUUCUGCCCCCAAACACUUCCGUGCUCCUUCUUUUCUUUUGCUACACAGUCGCCGGCGCGGCACGCAGCUCUGUUUUCCAUCGCCGGUGAACCAGCCGCGGCGGUGCCUGACGUUUGAGUACUGCAAGCUGCGCAGCGCGGCCGUGCAACCCUACUUCCUCAGCGAUGGGGUUAGUGCUGCCACAACCAGCGCUGCAAUCAGCUGUGCCCUUCGACGACGGAGUUGUAUCUGUGCACGCCGGAGCUGCCACCGUCGUUUUUGGGAGCUGCAAGGUCAACGACGACGAGCCAGGCCGGCGGCACCGUGCUAUCAUGGAUGGGCGGCGACCUCACGCGCGGCCUGGUGGACCACGGCGGACCACGACGACCAUCUCUUUUCACUGGAGGACGCAACACACCAGCGAAGGAAGCGACCUGGGCGGAGAAUAGAACAAGCGUUGACCAGAUCUGAGGGUUAGGGGGCGAUUAAUUCGACGGCUAGCAUGUGACCGGCCGAAAAAAUUGGGCCGGCGCACCGGCGCCUAACACUGACCCUACACAAAGCGCAACAAAUUCAGGUCAGAGUUCCACAAGAUAAUACAUCACAUGCUGACGGUGGAGGAAUUCGAAACUGCAUGGAAGCAACUGACAGAAUCACAUGGUUUGGAAAAACAUCCUUACGUUACUCACAUCUAUGAAACAAGAGCAAAAUGGGCUGAACCAUACUUCAAAGGUAAAUUUUGUGCCAAAAUGACAAGCACACAGCGCAGCGAGAGUGCCAACCAUAUGCUCAAGGGUUAUGUUCCAGCAAGCUGCCCCAUGCAUCUCUUUGUUUGAUAGUACAUGCGACUUCUUUUUGAUAGGGAAGCAAGUGACAACUAUGAGAGGAGGCGCACAAAAAUAGUAGCCCCAGUACUGAAAAUGAACACGCCAAUAGAGCUGCGUGCAAGCAGAGUCUAUACACAAGCCAUGUUCUAAAAAUCUGGAUUGUCUACAAAGUAGAACUUGCUGACGAAGGGAAUGAGUUGAUAUGUGAGUGUUCUAGUUUCGAACACACAGGUCUGCUAUGCUGCCAUUCAGUGAAGGUAUAAAGUAAAUCCCUUGGUACAUGACGCGGCGUGAGUGGUACACAAACCUGUAUGAUAUGCCAUUUGGGCUGCUUGUGGGAGUCAAUAAUCACUUCCAUAUCAUGAUUUUUGGUGGUGUGCUAGUAAGAGAUCGGACAGUGGAAACUUUUCAAUGGGUGUUCACUGAAUUUACCCGCAUGAUGGGCGACAAACAUCUAGAAACCGUGCUCACAGAUCAAUGCAAGGCGCUGGAAGUAGCAAUAGAGAAAGUGAUGCCACACACGACUCACCGUUGGUGCAAGUGGCACGUGCAAUUGGUAAUUUCAUGGGGCUAAAAGCUCCAGAACAAAAGCGAAAGCCCGGUCGACCAAUCACUCACAGGGAUAAACCUCAUAUGAUGAUCGUGGUGCAAAAAGCAAGAAGUAUAGACUGACAGCAAAUGCACAAGCUGGAAAUGGAUGCGGGACAAGUAAUUAAACGAACUCGCUUCUCCAGUAUAUGUUGAGAACCAGGGCACAAGAGCACCACAUGUCCACAAAGAGGUGAUCUCCCUCAAAAAGAAAGGAAAGCGUCAAAAUGCUCGAAUUAUGGCGUCGGUGGUCACAGGAAAAACACCUGCAGCAAGCCUAGGGUUGUACUCCAUGUUCAAAAUGCUACCUUAGAGCCAAAUGCAAUUUGUGGGUGACUUCAUUAGAUUCAGUGUUUUUGUUCUUUGUUGUUGAGGGUCUGUGGCCGUUAACUUUAACCGCAAGACUCUUGUUGUAAUAAUAACCGUCAGUGAAGUACGUGUUGUCUGUUGGAAUCCUGUUAGUUCGAUUUUCA
Triticum dicoccoides is the source of this 3412-nucleotide long non-coding RNA. RefSeq lists it as uncharacterized. The transcript has 9 exons. The record is from RefSeq and is a predicted model, not a curated record. Lineage: Eukaryota; Viridiplantae; Streptophyta; Magnoliopsida; Poales; Poaceae.